AGAGUUUGAUCCUGGCUCAGGACGAACGCUGGCGGCGUGCCUAACACAUGCAAGUCGAACGGAGACAGUAGCAAUAUUGUCUUAGUGGCGGACGGGUGAGUAACGCGUGAGCAAUCUGCCCUUCGGAGGGGGACAACAGCUGGAAACGGCUGCUAAUACCGCAUGAUGUAUCUGGGAGGCAUCUUCUGGAUACCAAAGAU
Molecule: ribosomal RNA, 200 nt
Filed under: uncultured bacterium
Lineage: Bacteria
Description: partial 16S ribosomal RNA
Rfam family: Bacterial small subunit ribosomal RNA
Source: RNAcentral